AUUGAACGCUGGCGGCAGGCCUAACACAUGCAAGUCGAGCGGAUGAAGGGAGCUGGCUGCUGGAUUCAACGGCGGACGGGAACGUAAUGCCUAGGAAUCUGCAAGGUAGCGGGGGGUAACGUCCGGAAAUUGGCACUAAUAGCGCAUACGUGCUGACGGAGUUUGUGGGGGAUCUUCGGAUCACAAGCUAGUAAUUCAGACUAGGUGGGAUUAGCUUGUUGGUGGGGUAAAGGCCCACCAAGGCGACGAUGCAUAACUGGUCUGAGAGGAUGAUCGGUCACACUGGAACUGAGACACGGUCCAGACUCCUACGGGAGGCAGCAGUAGGGAAUCUUGGGCAAUGGGCGAAAGCCUGAUCCAGCAACGCCGCGUGUGUGAAGAAGGUUUUCGGAUUGUAAAGCUCUGUUGGUUGGGAGGAAGGGCAGUAUGGUAAUACCACACUUAAGUGACGGUACCAACAGAAUAAGCAACGGCUAACUACGUG
This 484-nucleotide ribosomal RNA is filed under the name uncultured bacterium. Its description in RNAcentral is "partial 16S ribosomal RNA". It matches the Rfam family "Bacterial small subunit ribosomal RNA", at positions 30 to 507 of the family's 1533-position model. The record is from RNAcentral.